CAGCAGCCACGGGAAUACGGAGGGUGCAAGCGUUAAUCGGAAUUACUGGGCGUAAAGCGUACGCAGGCGGUUUGUUAAGUCAGAUGUGAAAUCCCCGAGCUUAACUUGGGAACUGCAUUUGAAACUGGCAAGCUAGAGUCUUGUAGAGGGGGGUAGAAUUCCAGGUGUAGCGGUGAAAUGCGUAGAGAUCUGGAGGAAUACCGAUGGCGAAGGCAGCCAUCUGGCCUAAUACUGACGCUGAGGUACGAAAGCAUGGGGAGCAAACAGGAUUAGAGACCCCAGUAGUCCCUGUCUCUUAUAC
Molecule: ribosomal RNA, 301 nt
Filed under: uncultured bacterium
Lineage: Bacteria
Description: partial 16S ribosomal RNA
Rfam family: Bacterial small subunit ribosomal RNA
Source: RNAcentral